RNAcentral lists this ribosomal RNA (406 nucleotides) under uncultured bacterium. RNAcentral describes it as "partial 16S ribosomal RNA". It matches the Rfam family "Bacterial small subunit ribosomal RNA", at positions 30 to 526 of the family's 1533-position model. The record is from RNAcentral.
AUUGAACGCUGGCGGCAGGCCUAACACAUGCAAGUCGAACGAGUGGCGCACGGGUGAGUAAUGUCUGGGAAACUGCCCGAUGGAGGGGGAUCACUACCGGAAACGGUAGCUAAUACCGCAUACCAUCGGAUGUGCCCAGAUGGGAUUAGCUAGUAGGUGGGGUAACGGCUCACCUAGGCGACGAUCCCUAGCUGGUUUGAGAGGAGGACCAGCCAACCUGGAGCUGAGACACGGUCCAGACUCCUACGGGAGGCAGCAGUGGGGAAUAUUGCACAAUGGGGGAAAGCCUGAUGCAGCCAUGCCACGUGUAUGAAGAAGGCCUUCGGGUUGUAAAGUACUUUCAGCUAGGAUGCGUUACUCGCAGAAGAAGCACCGGCUAACUCCGUGCCAGCCGCCGCGGUAAUUC